GGUAAAAUGGCUGAUUAAGGUGAUAAAUUGUAAAUUUAUUUAUGGAUAAUUUCCUUUUACUA
Molecule: transfer RNA, 62 nt
Filed under: Hyalomma scupense
Lineage: Eukaryota; Metazoa; Arthropoda; Arachnida; Ixodida; Ixodidae
Description: tRNA-Tyr
Source: RNAcentral